RNAcentral lists this ribosomal RNA (443 nucleotides) under uncultured bacterium. RNAcentral's name for it is "SSU rRNA". It matches the Rfam family "Bacterial small subunit ribosomal RNA", at positions 26 to 518 of the family's 1533-position model. The record is from RNAcentral.
AGGACGAACGCUGGCGGCAGGCCUAACACAUGCAAGUCGAACGCACCGCAAGGUGAGUGGCAGACGGGUGAGUAACGCGUGGGAACCUACCCUUUGGUACGGAACAUACCAGGGAAACCUGGGGUAAUACCGUAUAAGCCCUUCGGGGGAAAGAUUUAUCGCCAUUGGAUGGGCCCGCGUCGGAUUAGCUAGUUGGUGAGGUAACGGCUCACCAAGGCGACGAUCCGUAGCUGGUCUGAGAGGACGAUCAGCCACACUGGGACUGAGACACGGCCCAGACUCCUACGGGAGGCAGCAGUGGGGAAUAUUGGUCAAUGGGCGAAAGCCUGAACCAGCCAUGCCGCGUGAGUGAUGAAGGCCUUAGGGUUGUAAAGCUCUUUCGACGGGGAAGAUAAUGACGGUACCCGUAGAAGAAGCCCGGCUAACUUCGUGCCAGCAGCCGC